GCGGGAAAACUGAGGCUACGGAGGGGACGCUCUUGCCCAAGUUCCACGGCGAGGUGGGCCGAGAAAGGGGCGGGACCCCGGCCCCGAGACUCCCAGGCGCCUUUCCAGAAAGCCCGGCGUACUCUGCGUGUCGCGGGCCACUUUGGGUCUAAUUGUCGCGCGUGGGUGAGUGUCGCCGCGGUGUGCGCCUCGAGCCGGGCAGCGACCGCGCCGGCGUAUCUGUGCCUCGGCGCGUCUGCGAACGGCACGUGUCUUUACAGCCGCGCGUGUGCCCGCAAGUGGAUGUGCGCGCCGUGCCGCCCGGGAAGCGGGAGGUCCUGCGGGCGUGCGCCGGACCUGUUGUCAGCAGGCCUGGCAGAUGGGAACUCAGCUCCGGAAUUAAUUGCUUGUUUGUCUCCGGCUGGGAGUCCGCGCCCCCCCCCCCCCGCCCUUCCCCGGCGACCAGUUGCUCUGUGCCUAGCCGGGCCCCAAAUGUCGCCGGCAUCCGCGGCCGCAGGCAGCUCCGGGGCCAGGCUCCGGGUCAGCCCCAAAGCCUGGGUCAAGCCAGGCGGGCGCGGCGGGCGGGCUCCCCGUGACGCGAGCGCCCCCUGCCGGCCGCUGCGCACACGGCUCCGAGACUGGGGAGACCCAGCGCCCCGCGUCCCAGGCCUGAGGCGCACUCGGAAACUCCGAAUGUCGUGAUCCCGGCAGAGACCAGGACACGCGGCUGCCGGCGCAUACACCUGGAGAAAGAAAACGGGCGUCAGCCCACAUCCGGAUCUGGGUACCCAGGACAACACCCAAACCCCACCCGCACUGCCGGCAGACAGCACCGCCUCCCGCCGCUCCACUGCUCCGGGACAUACACUCUCUAUAUCCCGUCCCCCCACCCACACACGCAACCCAGAAGCACGCAGCGGUCGGGAGCCCAGCUCCUGCGCCCCUGGCCAGCCACACCCGCAACUUCAGCGCUUCUACCGCCGCGGCGCUUUGGGAAGCACAAGCUCACAUCCCAUAUCCGCAGAACACGGGGUGCACGAGGGGGCUGGAGUCACCCCGGGGGCUCACGAUCAGUCAGGGUCCACGACCCCCUACUUCGCCCAUCCUAGCAAGGCGCAAGAAUCACCAUAAACGCUGGAUUUGCUGACCACAUGGCCGAUCGUGACCACCUGCUCUGUACUCACCCAGGCUUCUGGUCAGGAGAGAGGCGGGGAAGAGCUGCCCCCUCCCUGUGUCCACCAUCACUCCUGGCCUGGGAUCAGGGCAAGUUAUAAAGGGGGCCAGAGUCCCCCCUUUCUCUCUGUCCCUCUCCAGGAGGACACUCUGGGGACCACCCACCCUCCUCCCGCACAGGAAGGGGACUGGGGAACACUGUCCUCUUCCCCCAUCCUGUCUCAUCCAAGACCCUGAGCCUGGGGCGGGGGCGGGGGCUCCUCCCUUCAGCGGACCAAGGGCUUCUGGGAGGCCACCCGCCAUGUCAGUGGAUUGAUUAAAGUCAUUGUGGGGA
This is a long non-coding RNA of Nomascus leucogenys (northern white-cheeked gibbon), 1486 nucleotides long. RefSeq lists it as uncharacterized. The record is from RefSeq and is a predicted model, not a curated record. The transcript is spliced from 3 exons. Lineage: Eukaryota; Metazoa; Chordata; Mammalia; Primates; Hylobatidae.